This 508-nucleotide ribosomal RNA is filed under the name uncultured bacterium. Its description in RNAcentral is "partial 16S ribosomal RNA". It matches the Rfam family "Bacterial small subunit ribosomal RNA", at positions 30 to 523 of the family's 1533-position model. The record is from RNAcentral.
AUUGAACGCUGGCGGCAGGCCUAACACAUGCAGGUCGAGCGGCAGCGGGAAAGUAGCUUGCUACUUUUGCCGGCGAGCGGCGGACGGGUGAGUAAUGCCUGGGAAAUUGCCCAGUCGAGGGGGAUAACAGUUGGAAACGACUGCUAAUACCGCAUACGCCCUACGGGGGAAAGCAGGGGACCUUCGGGCCUUGCGCGAUUGGAUAUGCCCAGGUGGGAUUAGCUAGUUGGUGAGGUAAUGGCUCACCAAGGCGACGAUCCCUAGCUGGUCUGAGAGGAUGAGCAGCCACACUGGAACGUAGACACGGUCCAGACUCCUACGGGAGGCAGCAGUGGGGAAUAUUGCACAAUGGGGGAAACCCUGAUGCAGCCAUGCCGCGUGUGUGAAGAAGGCCUUCGGGUUGUAAAGCACUUUCAGCGAGGAGGAAAGGUUGAUGCCUAAUACGUAUCAACUGUGACGUUACUCGCAGAAGAAGCACCGGCUAACUCCGUGCCAGCCGCCGCCGUAA